GAUGAACGCUAGCGAUAGGCCUAACACAUGCAAGUCGAGGGGCAUCACAUGAAGUAGCAAUACGGAUGGUGGCGACCGGCGCACGGGUGAGUAACACGUAUGCAACCUGCCUUCAACAAGGGGAUAACCCGUUGAAAGACGGACUAAUACCCUAUAACACAGGGGUCCCGCAUGGGAAUAUUUGUUAAAGGACAACCGGUUGAAGAUGGGCAUGCGUUCCAUUAGCUAGUUGGCGGGGUAACGGCCCACCAAGGCAACGAUGGAUAGGGGAACUGAGAGGUUUAUCCCCCACACUGGUACUGAGACACGGACCAGACUCCUACGGGAGGCAGCAGUGAGGAAUAUUGGUCAAUGGACGCAAGUCUGAACCAGCCACGUCGCGUGAAGGAAGACGGCCCUACGGGUUGUAAACUUCUUUUAUACGGGAAUAAAGUGCCCCACGCGUGGGGUUUUGCAUGUACCGUAUGAAUAAGGAUCGGCUAACUCCGUGCCAGCAGCCG
RNAcentral lists this ribosomal RNA (500 nucleotides) under uncultured bacterium. Its description in RNAcentral is "bacterial SSU rRNA". It matches the Rfam family "Bacterial small subunit ribosomal RNA", at positions 28 to 517 of the family's 1533-position model. The record is from RNAcentral.